RNAcentral lists this ribosomal RNA (243 nucleotides) under uncultured bacterium. RNAcentral describes it as "partial small subunit ribosomal RNA". It matches the Rfam family "Bacterial small subunit ribosomal RNA", at positions 26 to 285 of the family's 1533-position model. The record is from RNAcentral.
AGAAUCAACGCUGGCGGCGUGCCUAACACAUGCAAGUCGAACGAGAAAGUGGAGCAAUCCAUGAGUAAAGUGGCGACCGGGUGAGUAACACGUGACUAACCUACCUUCGAGUGGGGGAUAACCCCGGGAAACCGGGCUAAUACCGCAUAACAUCGCAAGAUCAAAGCAGCAAUGCGCUGGAAGAGGGGGUCGCGGCUGAUUAGCUAGUUGGCGGGUAACGGCCCACCAAGGCGAAGAUCGGUA